CAGCAGUAGGGAAUCUUCUGCAAUGGGCGAAAGUCUGAUGGAGCAACGCCGCGUGAGUGAAGAAGGUUUUCGGAUCGUAAAACUCUGUUGUCAGAGAAGAACAAGUUGGAGAGUAAAUGCUCCAGCCUUGACGGUAUCCGACCAGAAAGCCCCGGCUAAAUACGUGCCAGCAGCCGCGGUAAUACGUAGGGGGCAAGCGUUGUCCGGAUUUAUUGGGCGUAAAGCGAGCGCAGGGGGUUCUUUAAGUCUGAUGUGAAAACCCCCGGCUCUACCCUGGAAGGUCAUUGGAAACUGGGGAACUUGAGUGCAGGAGAGAAGAGUGGAAUUCCACGUGUAGCGGUGAAAAGCGUAGAUAUAUGGAGGAACACCCGUGGGGAAAGCGACUCCCUGGUCCGUAACUGACGCUGAGGCGCGAAAGCGUGGGGAGCACACACGAUUAGAUACCCCGGUAGUCCACGCCCUAAACGAUGAGUGCUAAGUGUUGGAGGGUUUCCACCCUUCAGUGCCGCAGCUAACGCAUAAGCACU
Molecule: ribosomal RNA, 527 nt
Filed under: uncultured bacterium
Lineage: Bacteria
Description: bacterial SSU rRNA
Rfam family: Bacterial small subunit ribosomal RNA
Source: RNAcentral